Long non-coding RNA from Hemicordylus capensis (graceful crag lizard), 3186 nucleotides. RefSeq lists it as uncharacterized. The record is from RefSeq and is a predicted model, not a curated record. NCBI's taxonomy places the organism in Eukaryota, Metazoa, Chordata, Lepidosauria, Squamata, Cordylidae. The transcript has 2 exons.
CUUUUUGCAUUGAAGUCAAUGGGAGUCAAAAAGGCGGGAAAUAGAUGUCAAAAUCUGAAAAUCCGAAUAUUCGGAGCCGGAAUGGAGGUGAUUUGGUUCAGCUACGAAAAAUUUCGGAGGGCCAGAAGGGUGAUUCGGUUCGGAUCCGUAUCACCCAAAAUUGGCUGUUUCGGGUACAGAUCGUUCUAUACCCGAAACGUUUCGCACAUCCCUAUUAUGAAUGCCAAUUAAGUUUUUCCAUAACUAUGUUCUAGCUGGAGUUUAAGGAGCAGCGGGUGGGGGCUGGGAGUGAUUAUAUGCAAAGGAGGACAUGACUCCUGGGCGCUUUCCAGACCAGCUGCUCAUCAGCAGCCAAAUGCCUCCGUUCGGGCAAGUCGCAUUCAGAUCGUAAACAGCAGGGGGAGCAGUCUCGCAGCAACUCACAAGAACAGGUACGCAGUCUGGAGGUGCUUCUGGAUCCAAGUCUCUCCCUGGUGUCCCAGGUUGAGGCAGUGGCCAGAGGUGCCUUCUAUCAGCUUCAGCUGAUACGCCAGCUGCGUCCGUAUCUUGAGAUAGAUGACCUCAAAACAGUGGUAUAUCUGUUGGUAACCUCCAGACUGGAUUACUGUAAUGCGCUCUAUGUGGGGCUGCCCUUGUACGCAAUCUGGAAAGUACAGUUGGCCCAGAAUGCGGCAGCCAGGCUGGUCUCUGGGUCAUCUCGGAGAGACCAUAUCACUCCUGUAUUGAAGGAGCUACACUGGCUGCCGAUAUGUUUCUGGGCAAAAUACCUAUAAAGUAUAGGGCCCUGGGUAUUUACGAAAAUGUCUUCUUUGCUAUGAACCCCACAGCCCAUUGAGAUCACCAGGAGAGGUCCAUCUGCAUUUGCCACUGCUCGUCUGGUGGCUACUCAGGGACGGGUCUUCUCUGUUGCUGCCCCGAGGCUUUGGAAUGUGCUCCCUAGUGAAAUAAGAGCCUCCCCAUCUCUGACAAUUUUUAAAAAGUCUUUAAAGACGCAUCUGUUCACCCAGGCUUUUAACUGAUACUGUUUUGAUUGUUUUUAAUGUUGUUUUAGAAUAUUGUUUUAAAAAUUUUAAAUUGUUAUGUUCUAAAUUUUUUGUUUUUGUUUUUAACUAAUGUUUUACUUUUACUUUUAUCUUCUUGUAAACUGCCCAGAGACGUAUGUUUUGGGUGGUAUAAAAAUAUGUUAAAUAAAUAAAUAAAUAAACCGAAAAAACAGCAACUUUUUCACGCCGGAUAUACGACGCUCUUGCUCUAUAACACAGUGAUUAAAUUUGCAACAAGGCACUGGAAAUGUGAAUGGCACCCUGCUGUCCGUGUAGGGACAGCGGUGUCACGACACAGGAAAUGUGGAAGCACACUUCCGAGAUAUGUCUUGACCCCAUUGUAGGGUCUAGUCUGGAAAGUGCCCCGUACACAGUAUUGUCUGCUGUGACUGGCAGCAGCUUCUCCAAGGCUUCAGGCAAAAGUCUUCCCCAGCCUGAUCUGGAGAUGCUAGAGAUUGAACCUGGGACCUUCUCCAUCCAAAGCAGAUGCUCUACCUCUGAGCCACAGCUUCAUCCCCAUUGUUUUACUUGGAACACCUCUCUCCCAGAACGCCUCUUCUGUGGUGUCACCUCUCUCUCCGCUCAAGACCUUCCUCAAAAGCCACCUCUCCUAUAACAUGUUAGCUUAACCCCUCCAUCCUCAUCCCUAAGUAAAAUGAAGUACCCAUAACUGGUACUGAUAGAUUGUAAUGUAAUGUAAUUAAUAAUCUGGUCCUCAAGUCCAGGGAUUGGGAGGUAUGAUAGUAGCAGUAAUAAAAGGCAAUAUAAUGGCCCAGUGGUCCAUUUGUUCACAAUGUAUGUUCAGAGGACUUUUAAAAUUCAUUGGUACUUUUAGGGAGGGGGUGAUUUACUGCUAGAGACACAUUUGCUUCUCAUUUUGCUGACAAGUGUAAAAUAUGAGAGCAAAGGUCUUGACCACACUUCUUAUGCUUGGUAUAUCAGUUUCUGAGUUUUAAGUUGACAUAGGUUUGAAUCACUCCCCUGUUGCAAUUUUAGUACUGUAUUUACCUAAAUACAAGACAACUCUGAAUUUAAGACGAGCCCCUUUAAAAAUAGAUGUUAAAUACAGGUUAUACCUAUAUUUUCUCAAAAGGAAGAGGACUCUUAAUUUAAGAUGACCCCCUGAUUUCUAACAUCAAAGACUUUGGGGGAAAAUCUGGUCUUGGAUUCAAGUAAAUACAGUAAUAUUUCUUUGUGGAAAUACUCUUCUAAUUCUCACACACGCUCCACUGUUGGCCAAUCCCAGUUGUAAUUUACCAUUCAAAUGAUGUAUGGAUUACAGUUAUUCAGGGAUUAGAUACAGUCUUUGCACAAGAACAAAAGGGAACAGAAUGUGUACUUGCAUUGUUUAGCUAAGGUUUGAAAAGAUUAGACACACGAACAGACCCUGUUUGUUUGGGUUAGAUUUACUUUCUCUGCCAUCACCCAGAAUUUCAGCAAUUAUUUGAUUUCAUGGUUGUCACUAUUACCUGUUAUAAAAUGCCAUUAUUAUGUUGUUCCAUCUGAAAAUUAUUAAUUAAAAAUAACAUCAUGAGAUUUACCCAAUGUUCUACUUUGGCUUUUCUUUUGCCUUGAGCCACAGCAAACACCUUGACUCCUGGCAGAGGAAAGAAGUGACAUGCUUCUUGCCCACUUGUGUGGAAUUUCCUCCAAAAGGUGGGAAGACUGUUGCAGCCCAUAUGGUGCCCUGGUGUAAGGGUUCCCAGACUCAGCAGCCAGAAGCCAGCAGUUCCUCUUCAAUGAAACACUGAGGGACUGAGCAUGGUGAAAGAACAACCACUCCUAUGGAUGGCAUGAGUGCAUUUCCCCCUUUCUAGAGUAGGUGGAAUGAGAGAAGAAGAAAAACUUGAGUUGGUCACGUGAAGCAUGCAUAUAUUUAUAACUGAGAAAGUGGUUGUGAAGGUUAUACAAGUGGAAAUGAGUUAACAAAGCAAUAAAAAUGGUCUUUAAAUACCUACUAAAGCAUCACUAUUAACAUGUGUGCAAUUCGACAAAGCAGACAACGGGAUACUUUUUAUGGGCAAAAUAAUGUUGAAUCUGAAAAUUGUGCAAUCUCUCGCACUUCUUUUCUCUUCCAGUAUAUCAUGUAAAAGGCAAGGUGAAUUAUUUUGGUUACAAUAAAAGGUAUUGUGUUUAUGAGUCA